Molecule: long non-coding RNA, 1443 nt
Filed under: Capra hircus (goat)
Lineage: Eukaryota; Metazoa; Chordata; Mammalia; Artiodactyla; Bovidae
Description: lncRNA (ENSCHIG00010007825.1)
Source: RNAcentral
UUUGGGCAAGUGCGGCGCAAGGGCGUCACGUCGUGGUGGUUUCUCUUGUUGCGGAGCACAGGCUCUAAGGCUAGUGGGCUUCAGCAGGCACAUGGGCUCAGCUGGCCCUAGUCCUCAACAACAUGGUCUCGGCAGUGGAGGGGCACAGGUUUAGCAGCUUUGAGGCAUGUGGGAUCUUCCUGGACCAGGGAUCGAACCAGUGUCCCCUGCAUUACAAGGCAGAUUCUUAACCACUGGACCAUCAGGGACACCUUUCUUUAGGUUUUAAAUCUUAUUUCACUUAAUUCCUCCAGGUAAUAUCCUCCUGCUAACCUGAACUUCCUGACAUGUUCAUACAGUAGCCAGGUGGACCACCUUCAUGUGUCCCACUAUAAAUGCUUAGCUCCAUAAACACAAUUUAAAUCUACUGCUGGUUUUUAAGGUGGGAAACAAGAUAGCCAGGGAAUGCACUUAAAUUUUAAUAAUUUUGUGGCCUCAUAGAGAAUGGAAUCAAAAAGGAGUAUAACUGGUUGCAGAAAGGCUGACUGAAGCUGUUGCCUUGCUGCAGGUGAGCAGACUGUCCCCCAAGGACUCUCAACUGAAAGGAAACUAGCAAUCUAUCUGUCAUGAACUGUCAAUCAGAAUCUAAAGCUAAAAAGAUACCCAAGGUUGAAUGAGUAAUCCGAGGGCAAGGACUUUGAAGUCAGGCAAAGUGGGGUUCAAAGCCCAGCCCAACCACUUAGAUGACUCAUCUCUGACAGGACAGAAAACUCCCCAGGCCAAAAGUAAAGUGGGAAUGCACCCACCUAAAGUGCUUAGGUGGUUAACAUAUGGGAAAUAUUAUCUUGAAUCUUUUUUCCCUAGAUGACACAUAAACUCAGAAUAGUCCAAUUAAUUUGAAAUACUUAAGUUUAAGCUGGGGGCAACAAUAAAGAAAUAUGCCAAAGUGUAAAAAAGGAAAACUGGUGAUUAUUAGUGUGAAGAAUGGAGAAACAGUGGAAGCUGGGGCAGUUAACGUGAAUAAAAUUCUAAGACUGAAAUUAGGAAAAAGCAUCAAGAGGUCAAUUUAAUAAUUUUUAGAGUUAAUUGUUUUUAACUACCAGAUAGUACUAACAAAUCUGAAACAUUUUAUUUGACAGUUAUUUCCAUUUAUCUACUUAAAGGUUCCUUCUAUCUGCUCAUCCCACCCUGCUGACCAUUCUACACCCCCAAGGAGAUCCGUGAUGAGGGUCAGCCUGGAACAUUCAGUUCCACAGAAAACAGACGACGACAAGUAUCUAAUUGCUUGUGAUUAGGAAAAAAAACCCAUCUCUUCUUCUUGCCACUGGAAUUCAAGCUAUGAUAAAGGAGACAGAAAGACAGUGAGUUCGAGUGAAAUGUUUACAUUUAUAUUGAAAUAUGCACUAAAACAGAAUGAGUUCUACUGGUCAAUGAAACUUUGCCAAAGCGGAAUCACAAAACUUC